GUCACUAUUGUCAUUAAAUUAUGAAAAUAAAUUGUAAUGCUUAAAUUAAAAAUAAUAAAAAUAUAAAUGUAUGAAAAUACUUAAUUUUUAGUUGGUGUAUGUAAAAUCAUAAGAUUAUAUAUUAAGUUGGCGUAGGAUCUAGACUCCCCGAUAAGCUUAUAUGGGUAACAAUUUGUGUACUCGCAGCUUGUUGGUACUAAGUACCCUCUAUCACAUUUUAUUGUAUGGUGUGUAUCAAAUUAAG
This 244-nucleotide long non-coding RNA is filed under the name Linum usitatissimum (flax). RNAcentral's name for it is "long non-coding RNA (LUSI_LNC004422)". Lineage: Eukaryota; Viridiplantae; Streptophyta; Magnoliopsida; Malpighiales; Linaceae. The record is from RNAcentral.